Archocentrus centrarchus (flier cichlid) is the source of this 581-nucleotide long non-coding RNA. RefSeq lists it as uncharacterized. Lineage: Eukaryota; Metazoa; Chordata; Actinopteri; Cichliformes; Cichlidae. The record is from RefSeq and is a predicted model, not a curated record. The transcript has 3 exons.
AGAGAGCAAGGCUUUUCUGAGAAUUUCAGUUAUAGAUAGAGUCUGGGAAAGUCCCUAAGCAUAGCCAUUUUUUUAAAGUCAGUGUAUUGUAUGGGUUUAAAGUAGCUUAAAGCACUGUAAUUUGAAUAAUGAAAGAAUAUAGUACAAAGACAGAUGUCACCAGGUAAGGAAUGGAACCUUGAAGCAGAUGGGCUACAGCAGCAGAAGAUCAUACCGGAUGCCGCUCCUGUCAUCUGAGAACAGAAAACUGAGGCUACAGUUUGCAUGGGCUUACCAAAAUUGGACAAAAUUGGGAAAACAUAUCCAGUUCAGGUUGCUGGUGGUGUAAUGAAUGGUGUGGGGGAUAUUUCCUUGGUAAACUGUGGGCCCCUUAGUGCCAACUGAGCAUUGCCACAACCUACCUGAGUACUGCUGCUGACCAUGUCCAUCCCUUUAUGACCACACUGUACCCAUCAUCUGAUAGCUGCUUCCAGCCUCCACAGUCACCAGGUCUCAGUACAAUAGAGCACCUUUGGGAUGUGGUGGAAUGGGAGAUUUGUGUCAUGGAUGUGAGCUUGCUGAAUCUAUGCCAUGAAGAAUUA